RNAcentral lists this ribosomal RNA (254 nucleotides) under uncultured bacterium. Its description in RNAcentral is "partial 16S ribosomal RNA". It matches the Rfam family "Bacterial small subunit ribosomal RNA", at positions 78 to 334 of the family's 1533-position model. The record is from RNAcentral.
UCUUUCUUUGCUGGCGACCGGCGCACGGGUGAGUAACACGUAUCCAACCUGCCCUUUACUCGGGGAUAGCCUUUCGAAAGAAAGAUUAAUACCCGAUAGCAUAAUGAUUCCGCAUGGUUUCAUUAUUAAAGGAUCCGGUAAAGGAUGGGGAUGCGUUCCAUUAGGUUGUUGGUGGGGUAACGGCCCACCAAGCCUUCGAUGGAUAGGGGUUCUGAGAGGAAGGUCCCCCACAUUGGAACUGAGACACGGUCCAA